This is an RNA transcript of Harpegnathos saltator (Jerdon's jumping ant), 2946 nucleotides long. It is a transcript of the gene named inhibitor of nuclear factor kappa B kinase subunit beta, with no coding region annotated. Lineage: Eukaryota; Metazoa; Arthropoda; Insecta; Hymenoptera; Formicidae. The record is from RefSeq and is a predicted model, not a curated record. The transcript is spliced from 13 exons.
UGACUAAUUCUUAGCAUUAUGACAAUAACGUGAAUUUAUAGUAGUAUAUUCUAUUCAUAAUUAAGGAAAAGUAGAUAUAGUUUAAAUUUGCGAAACACAUAUUUCAUGACAAAUAAAAAUAUCUAUGAGUUUAUCUCACCAUUUCGCCUAAGAAUAAAAACUGAUUUAUCUAUCUUAUCGGCUUAACCGCCAAGGUUUUCUAUCUAAUGUCAAUUAACGACGAGGAGAUAUAAUGUUUUGAACAUUAUAACAAAAAUGUGAAAAAACAUUUUCUUAUCAGCAUUCAGUGAAGUCACAUCUAUUAAGCAUGAUUUAAGUUCGAGGUGCGUGUAUAAAUUGAAAGUUAUUUUAUGAAUUUAAAAUGACGUCCAGUUCAGAUCAGUCAAGUAAUAACUGGAAAUUAAGCAAAAUUCUUGGCGUUGGGGGCUUUGGAAUUGUCGAACUUUGGAUACACGCUCAAAGUAACAAAAAACUUGCAAUAAAGAAAUGCAAAUCAAGUUACACACAGUUAACACCAGUACAACAAAAAAGAUGGGCUAUUGAAGUUGAUAUAAUGGGACGUCUGAAGCAUCCAAAUAUUGUUAAAACUGGAUACUUACCAUUCAAGUUCCCAAAUGUGGAAAAUAGUCUACCAGUUCUCUGUAUGGAAUACUGUAGAAAAGGAGAUUUACGAAAAAUUUUAAAUCAACCAGAAAAUUGUUGUGGAAUUGAAGAAAUAGAGGCUAUCAAAGUGAUGUCUGAGAUUUCAUCAGCUGUAGAAUAUUUACAUUCUCAUAAUAUUACUCAUCGUGAUUUAAAGCCAGAGAACAUUGUACUCCAAGAUGAGAAUAAUAUACUAUCAUACAAACUAAUAGAUCUUGGAUAUGCUAAAGAGCUUGGAGAAGCUAGCACAUCUGCAUCUUUAGUUGGUACAUUGAAUUAUGUUGCUCCAGAACUUUUGUGGCAGGAAAAAUAUAGCUGUUCAGCUGAUUAUUGGAGUUUAGGAAUAUUGUAUUAUGAACUUGUAACUGGAAUGAGGCCAUUUCUACCGACAAUGCAACAUACUAUGGAAUGGAUGAAAUAUAUUAAAAAUAAGUGUAAUGAAGAUAUUCAUGCUUAUGAAACAGAAGGAAUAAUUAUUUUUGGACAGGAUAUUCAAGAUCCAACUCAUUUAUCGAGUCGUCUUCGACAUAAAAUGGUCAAUUGGUUUCGAUUGGUUUUAAAAUGGGAACCACGCAAAAGAGGCAAAAUGAUUGAUGAAUCUGGUACACUUUGUUUGAUGGUAUUCAAAAUGUUACAACAAAUAUUAUCAAAAAAGGUAUUAUAUGUUUUUUGUGUUCCACUUUAUAAAAUCGACACUUAUGAAAUCGAUGGUAACACUACUGUAGAAGAUAUUCAGUUAUUAAUAGAAAGAGAUACUAAUAUCAAAGUCGAACAUCAAAUAUUAACUGAUUACAGUGGUGUGCUACUGAAUGAAAAUACUGCAUUACUUGUCUCAAAAACUAAUGAUCACAUUUUAUUUGUCUUUAGAAAUGAAUGUUACUCAAUUAAAAAUAUACCUACACCAAGGAUUCCUACAGUAGUGGAGAAAAUGAUGAUUCAAUCAAAAGUUGAAUUGUCUUUUGAAGUAUUGCAAAAUUAUUAUCGUCAUACGAUAUAUUUUAUUAAAAAACAAGUAAAUUUAUUUCAGUUGUAUGUUUUUGCCUUUAGUAUAAAUGUAGAUUUGCUACACCAGAAAAUCGAUAAAUUUAAUACAAACAUGGAAAAGACAUUGGAAAGUACAACAAUUCUUAUGAAUCAAGUACAUGCAAUUCGUCUAAAGUAUGCGGACUCAACGGCUGCGGACGCGUCUGAUAAAAAAAAGGUUUUACAGACUUAUUUUGACAAAGUUGACAAGUUGGUCAAUGCAGCUGAUCAAAUAAAAAUAAAGUUUGUAUCUUUGAAGGAAAAUAACAAUAGAUUUAGAGAUACAAUUACAAGUAUUGACUACAUGAAAGAUUUGUCAAAAUUGUUUAGUGAUAUUUGUGACGUAUAUGUAAAAUUUAAACAGGGAAGCCCCCAUAAGAAGGCAAAACCAUUGGAUAUGGUAAAAUUGGUGUUUGAAUUUCUGAACAUAUAUGAAAUACAACAUAAUAAAAAUACACAUGAUAUUACAAGGCAAAUACAUAAUUUGCACGAUGAGUUAUUGAAAUUGGAGAAGAUAUUUAAUUCAGUUACUGUUAUGACAAAAUUAUACUGGAAAGAAUAUCAGAAGAUUGCACAAUUGGAUACCGAAAUUGAUCCGCAACAAUCUAAUAGUCAUCAAUUUUUAAAUAUUUCUACCACCGAAUUAAAUAGUGCCAUUCAAUCAGAGGAUGACGUGAUAUACGAUAAUUUGGUCAUACUUCAUACGAUGGAUAAUUUAAUGGCUGAAAUGCAGAGAAAAUGUCUGGAAGUACUUAGUUUCGAUCCAUUAUCGCAGAUAUAGCAUACAUAUACAUAUAUAAAUAACAUUCAUCUCAUUCAGAAAUAUCUGUGCUUUAGGAGAUAAAGAUCUAAAGAACUUUGAGAAUGAUAAAUAUGGAAUCUUUGUUUGAGAAACAUUGGUAUUACUUGUUUGGUCAAUAAACACGUGGAACAUAAUGACCUGAAUUAGAGUGGAUUUUCAAUAAAGAUAACGUAAGCACGUAUUUUUGAAAUGGACGAUAAAUAAAAGCAAAAAAAAUUUUUUUAAAUACAGGAAGGGUAAAACGUAUAUCUGACAUCCAACCGGCUGUCGAUGCCCUGUUAAACUGUCUACAAUGGAUCAGUGAACUCUUUUUAAGUAAGUUGUAGAGUGAGUAGUAAGUGAAACGAUCGAGUGAAUCUUAUAGCGUGACAAUACAUUUUUUUACUAUACUUUCACUUACGACCUCGAUUUUAUUAUACAUAAAAUUUUAUCUGUCAUACCUGAGAAGAGGGAACAUUCUGUUAAUUCUAUUAAUAAUU